Molecule: long non-coding RNA, 238 nt
Filed under: Malus domestica (apple)
Lineage: Eukaryota; Viridiplantae; Streptophyta; Magnoliopsida; Rosales; Rosaceae
Description: long non-coding RNA (MDOM_LNC016190)
Source: RNAcentral
GGAAAAAGCUGAAGCUGCUAUUUGUAGCUUUGGAAAACUGGUUUUUUUUCAAAGCACACGGAGUUACAGUGCUUCUUUAAUGAAAAGACCUACUAUUAGACUGCUUUUUUUCCAAAAGCACUUUUACAAAAAAGUUUACCAAACACUCUGCUGAUUUAUUUCACAGCCGCUUAUUCUCACAGCACAGUCGCUUAUUCUCACAGCAGCUUUUUUUCAAAGCACAGCAAUACCAAACCAA